Long non-coding RNA from Phalaenopsis equestris, 646 nucleotides. RefSeq lists it as uncharacterized. NCBI's taxonomy places the organism in Eukaryota, Viridiplantae, Streptophyta, Magnoliopsida, Asparagales, Orchidaceae. The record is from RefSeq and is a predicted model, not a curated record. The transcript is spliced from 3 exons.
CCCAACUUAUGGUCGAUUUUCCGGCCAGAAAUCAAAUUCCAGAUUAUAUGAGGGAAGCAAUCGAUAUUUGUUGUAAUAAAUUCACGGACAUGGGUGACUUAAUAAUUGACAUGGGACAUAUAUCGUUAACCCGACGCUAUCUUGAUGAAUUACUCACCAACGGGUGGUUAGGAAAUGAACACGUCGACUGUUUUGCUAUGUUGCUGGAGCAUAAGCGGAGCAAGAAUCCGGAACAAUACCGAUCUUACCUAUAUGUAUCUCCAUGCCACUGGGUAAAUUUUUAAAUUACUUUUACAUCAAACAUAUAACCAUAUUUCUUUUUAUUAAGUAGUUGUCUUAUGCGAUAUAUAUCGUUCUCUGCAGCUGUACAAGUUCGGUAACGUAAAAGGCUUCGUUGAACACAUUACGAAGGAGACCACAAAAAAUGUGGAGUUAAUUUUGAUACCUAUAAUCAAUAAUCAACACUGGACACUACUUGUUGGAUCAAUCAAAGAUCGCAAGUGGAGAUUAUAUGAUUCAUUGCCAAACAGAAUGCAUUUGCAUAUAACUGAUGCCAUCAUUAAACAUUUACUAAGCGAUGUUGGGGAAGCUUUUGAAUUUGAUCUUAGUAAGUGGCAAGUUGUAAUGCCUAGAGGCAUUCCAGUGC